Long non-coding RNA from Monopterus albus (swamp eel), 430 nucleotides. RefSeq lists it as uncharacterized. The transcript has 2 exons. The record is from RefSeq and is a predicted model, not a curated record. Lineage: Eukaryota; Metazoa; Chordata; Actinopteri; Synbranchiformes; Synbranchidae.
AAAUAUGCCUUACUAUGGUAUGUCAGAAAUAUUGGUUGAUUCUCUUCCGAAAAAUAUGCCCUGCUAUAGUAUGUCAUAAAAAAUAGUUCUGAACCUCUCCUGCAAAAUAUGCCUUACUAUAGUGUUGGUGAAAAGGUGUUAGUGUGACCUGCGAAAUAUGCCUUACUAUAGUAUGUCGUGAAAAGGUGUUAGUGUGACCUGCAAAAUAUGCCUUACUAUAGUAUGUCAUAAAAAUUGAUUGACCCUCUUCCGUAAAAUAUGCCUUACUAUAGUAUGUUGUGAAAAGGUGUUAGUGUGACCUGCAAAAUAUGCCUUACUAUAAUAUGUCAUAAAAAUUGGUUGACCCUCUUCCGUAAAAUAUGCCUUACUAUAGUAUGUUGUGAAAAGGUGUUAGUGUGACCUGCAAAAUAUGCCUUACUAUAGUAUGUCA